AUAUCAUUAGGGUCUGUCUAUAAAUAGACCCUGAGAAUGUGUGCAUCGGGAUUUAGUCCCCAAACGGGGUUUUCGAACGUGGGUGAUGAGUUCUUUGCUCUGAUCAGUUACUCAGGAGAAAUCUCUGUAAAGCGUGCGGAGGGGAAAAAAGUGAAGGAGCUCGCCAAGGAGUUCCCGUUUGGGUAAGUAAUAUUAUGUCAUGUGCAUGCCGCAGAGUGUGAGUAUG
Molecule: long non-coding RNA, 226 nt
Filed under: Sus scrofa (pig)
Lineage: Eukaryota; Metazoa; Chordata; Mammalia; Artiodactyla; Suidae
Description: lncRNA (ENSSSCG00070001107.1)
Source: RNAcentral